Long non-coding RNA from Ananas comosus (pineapple), 425 nucleotides. RefSeq lists it as uncharacterized. NCBI's taxonomy places the organism in Eukaryota, Viridiplantae, Streptophyta, Magnoliopsida, Poales, Bromeliaceae. The record is from RefSeq and is a predicted model, not a curated record. The transcript is spliced from 2 exons.
UUCUCCGUCGUUCCAAACCCUAGCACUAUAAAUAUGUACGGCUCCCUGUUGUUUUCGUUUCUUUUGUUCUCGAAGCCGCUCCAAGGAGAGAGUUGAGAGGCGGAGAUCGGCGUAGUUUCGAGAGCUCGCGGGUUGAGACGAUGAGGGCGAAGUGGAAGAAGAAGCGCAUGAGGAGGCUCAAGAGGAAGCGCCGAAAGAUGAGGCAGAGAUCCAAGUAGACGAAGGGACGGAUUCAAGGGCUAUCUCCUUUGGUUUUUUUUUCCUUUUUAUAUAUAUUUUUCCCCCUCCUUUGAGAGGCCUCUAGACUUGCGUUUUGUCGAGUUAAAAAUGUUCUAACUUUCCUUCAGACCAUGAAAACCAAGACGUUUUAUUUUGAGUUAUGAUGAGUCCCCGUUCGGGGACUAAUCUAUGAGCUUCCGUUUGCU